AGCGAACGCUGGCGGCAGGCCUAACACAUGCAAGUCGAACGAACCUUUCGGGGUUAGUGGCGGACGGGUGAGUAACACGUGGGAACGUGCCUUUAGGUUCGGAAUAACUCAGGGAAACUUGUGCUAAUACCGAAUGUGCCCUUCGGGGGAAAGAUUAAUCGCCUUUAGAGCGGCCCGCGUCUGAUUAGCUAGUUGGUUGAGGUAAUGGCUCACCAAGGCGACGAUCAGUAGCUGGUCUGAGAGGAUGAUCAGCCACAUUGGGACUGAGACACGGCCCAAACUCCUACGGGAGGCAGCAGUGGGGAAUCUUGCGCAAUGGGCGAAAGCCUGACGCAGCCAUGCCGCGUGAAUGAUGAAGGUCUUAGGAUUGUAAAAUUCUUUCACCGGGGACGAUAAUGACGGUACCCGGAGAAGCAGCCCCGGCUAACUUCGUG
This 434-nucleotide ribosomal RNA is filed under the name uncultured bacterium. RNAcentral describes it as "partial 16S ribosomal RNA". It matches the Rfam family "Bacterial small subunit ribosomal RNA", at positions 29 to 507 of the family's 1533-position model. The record is from RNAcentral.